This 96-nucleotide transfer RNA is filed under the name Methanomassiliicoccales archaeon. RNAcentral's name for it is "tRNA-Thr". It matches the Rfam family "tRNA". Rfam says of the family: Transfer RNA (tRNA) molecules are approximately 80 nucleotides in length. The record is from RNAcentral. Lineage: Archaea; Methanobacteriati; Thermoplasmatota; Thermoplasmata; Methanomassiliicoccales.
GCCACUGUGGCUUAGCGGUAGUGCCUUGUUGCACCGCCAAAUAGCGACGCCUUGGUAAGGCGUAGGUCGAGGGUUCGAAUCCCUCCAGUGGCUCCA